This 201-nucleotide ribosomal RNA is filed under the name uncultured bacterium. RNAcentral's name for it is "partial 16S ribosomal RNA". It matches the Rfam family "Bacterial small subunit ribosomal RNA", at positions 1300 to 1500 of the family's 1533-position model. The record is from RNAcentral.
GUAGUCUGCAACCCGACUACAUGAAGCUGGAAUCGCUAGUAAUCGCGAACCAGAAUGUCGCGGUGAAUACGUUCCCGGGUCUUGUACACACCGCCCGUCACACCAUGGGAGUCGGAAAUGCCCGAAGUCAGUGACCCAACCAUAAGGAGGGAGCUGCCGAAGGUGGAGCCGGUAACUGGGGUGAAGUCGUAACAAGGUAUC